GGGUCCGUAGCUCAGCUUGGAUAGAGCAGCACCGUCCUAAUCCGAAAGGAUUAAGGUGAUGGUCACGGGUUCAAAUCCCGUCGGACCCG
Molecule: transfer RNA, 89 nt
Filed under: Microcaldota archaeon
Lineage: Archaea; Nanobdellati; Microcaldota
Description: tRNA-OTHER
Rfam family: tRNA
About the family: Transfer RNA (tRNA) molecules are approximately 80 nucleotides in length. Their secondary structure includes four short double-helical elements and three loops (D, anti-codon, and T loops).
Source: RNAcentral